RNAcentral lists this ribosomal RNA (405 nucleotides) under uncultured bacterium. RNAcentral describes it as "bacterial SSU rRNA". It matches the Rfam family "Bacterial small subunit ribosomal RNA", at positions 28 to 429 of the family's 1533-position model. The record is from RNAcentral.
GACGAACGCUGGCGGCGUGCUUAACACAUGCAAGUCGAGCGGGGUCCAGCCGGUAGCAAUACCGGUGAAGACCUAGCGGCGAACGGGUGAGUAACACGUGAGCAACCUGCCCCGAAGUUUGGGAUAACACCGGGAAACCGGUGCUAAUACCAGAUGCCCUCAUCGAGUCUCAUGGUUUGAUGAGGAAAGAUUUAUCGCUUCGGGAGGGGCUCGCGGCCUAUCAGCUUGUUGGUGGGGAACGGCCCACCAAGGCUUCGACGGGUAGCUGGUCUGAGAGGACGACCAGCCACACUGGGACUGAGACACGGGCCCAGACUCCUACGGGAGGCAGCAGUGGGGAAUCUUGCGCAAUGGGCGAAAGCCUGACGCAGCGACGCCGCGUGAGGGAUGACGGCCUGGUGUAAC